UCCGCCAACUGGGAUGGAACCCGCCCCGAUUCUUUCGGGGGGCACCAUGGGGAAUUUGGACAAUGGCGAAAGCCUUAUCCAGCCAUGCGGGUGGGGAAGAAGGCCUUUUGGUUGUAAAGCACUUUAGCGAGGAGGAGGCUACCGAGAUUAAUAUUCUUGGAUAGUGGACGUUACUCGCAGAAUAAGCACCGGCUAACUCUGUGCCAGCAGCCGCGGUAAUACAGAGGGUGCGAGCGUUAAUCGGAUUUACUGGGCGUAAAGCGUGCGUAGGCGGCUUUUUAAGUCGGAUGUGAAAUCCCUGAGCUUAACUUAGGAAUUGCAUUCGAUACUGGGAAGCUAGAGUAUGGGAGAGGAUGGUAGAAUUCCAGGUGUAGCGGUGAAAUGCGUAGAGAUCUGGAGGAAUACCGAUGGCGAAGGCAGCCAUCUGGCCUAAUACUGACGCUGAGGUACGAAAGCAUGGGGAGCAAACAGGAUUAGAUACCCUGGUAGUCCAUGCCGUAAACGAUGUCUACUAGCCGUUGGGGCCUUUGAGGCUUUAGUGGCGCAGCUAACGCGAUAAGUAGACCGCCUGGGGAGUACGGUC
This 583-nucleotide ribosomal RNA is filed under the name Acinetobacter johnsonii. RNAcentral's name for it is "bacterial SSU rRNA". It matches the Rfam family "Bacterial small subunit ribosomal RNA", at positions 304 to 887 of the family's 1533-position model. Lineage: Bacteria; Pseudomonadati; Pseudomonadota; Gammaproteobacteria; Moraxellales; Moraxellaceae. The record is from RNAcentral.